Molecule: ribosomal RNA, 464 nt
Filed under: uncultured Klebsiella sp.
Lineage: Bacteria; Pseudomonadati; Pseudomonadota; Gammaproteobacteria; Enterobacterales; Enterobacteriaceae
Description: bacterial SSU rRNA
Rfam family: Bacterial small subunit ribosomal RNA
Source: RNAcentral
CCUACGGGCGGCAGCAGUGGGGAAUAUUGCACAAUGGGCGCAAGCCUGAUGCAGCCAUGCCGCGUGUGUGAAGAAGGCCUUCGGGUUGUAAAGCACUUUCAGCGGGGAGGAAGGCGGUGAGGUUAAUAACCUCAUCGAUUGACGUUACCCGCAGAAGAAGCACCGGCUAACUCCGUGCCAGCAGCCGCGGUAAUACGGAGGGUGCAAGCGUUAAUCGGAAUUACUGGGCGUAAAGCGCACGCAGGCGGUCUGUCAAGUCGGAUGUGAAAUCCCCGGGCUCAACCUGGGAACUGCAUUCGAAACUGGCAGGCUAGAGUCUUGUAGAGGGGGGUAGAAUUCCAGGUGUAGCGGUGAAAUGCGUAGAGAUCUGGAGGAAUACCGGUGGCGAAGGCGGCCCCCUGGACAAAGGCUGACGCUCAGGUGCGAAAGCGUGGGGAGCAAACAGGAUUAGAUACCCAGUAGUC